GAUGAACGCUGGCGGCGUGCCUAAUACAUGCAAGUCGAGCGAAUGGAUUAAGAGCUUGCUCUUAUGAAGUUAGCGGCGGACGGGUGAGUAACACGUGGGUAACCUGCCCAUAAGACUGGGAUAACUCCGGGAAACCGGGGCUAAUACCGGAUAACAUUUUGAACCGCAUGGUUCGAAAUUGAAAGGCGGCUUCGGCUGGCACCUAUGGAUGGACCCGCUUCGCAUUAGCUCGUUGGUGAGGUAACGGCUCACCAAGGCAACGAUGCGUAGCCGACCUGAGAGGGUGAUCGGCCACACUGGGACUGAGACACGGCCCAGACUCCUACGGGAGGCAGCAGUAGGGAAUCUUCCGCAAUGGACGAAAGUCUGACGGAGCAACGCCGCGUGAGUGAUGAAGGCUUUCGGGUCGUAAAACUCUGUUGUUAGGGAAGAACAAGUGCUAGUUGAAUAAGCUGGCACCUUGACGGUACCUAACCAGAAAGCCACGGCUAACUACGUGCCAGCCGCCGCAGUAA
RNAcentral lists this ribosomal RNA (515 nucleotides) under uncultured bacterium. RNAcentral's name for it is "partial 16S ribosomal RNA". It matches the Rfam family "Bacterial small subunit ribosomal RNA", at positions 28 to 523 of the family's 1533-position model. The record is from RNAcentral.